GUCCACGCCCUAAACUAUGUCAACUAGUUGUCGGGUCUUAAUAGGCUUGGUAACGUAGCUAACGCGUGAAGUUGACCGCCUGGGGAGUACGGUCGCAAGAUUAAAACUCAAAGGAAUUGACGGGGACCCGCACAAGCGGUGGAUUAUGUGGAUUAAUUCGAUGCAACGCGAAAACCUUACCUACCCUUGACAUGUCAGAAAGUUUUCAGAGAUGAAUUCGUGUCCGAAAGGAAUUUGAACACAGGUGCUGCAUGGCUGUCGU
This 262-nucleotide ribosomal RNA is filed under the name uncultured bacterium. Its description in RNAcentral is "partial 16S ribosomal RNA". It matches the Rfam family "Bacterial small subunit ribosomal RNA", at positions 793 to 1055 of the family's 1533-position model. The record is from RNAcentral.